AGCAGUGUGGCUUAAUGGAAAGAACAUGGGCUUGGGAGUCAGAGGUCAUGGGUUCUAAUCCCAACUCCGCCA
Molecule: non-coding RNA, 72 nt
Organism: Ornithorhynchus anatinus (platypus)
Lineage: Eukaryota; Metazoa; Chordata; Mammalia; Monotremata; Ornithorhynchidae
Source: Rfam